AGAACGAACGCUGGCGGCAUGCCUAAUACAUGCAAGUCGAACGAACACUUCGGUGUUAGUGGCGCACGGGUGCGUAACGCGUGGGAAUCUGCCCUUGGGUUCGGAAUAACUUCGGGAAACUGAAGCUAAUACCGGAUGAUGACGUAAGUCCAAAGAUUUAUCGCCCAAGGAUGAGCCCGCGUAGGAUUAGCUAGUUGGUGGGGUAAAGGCCUACCAAGGCGACGAUCCUUAGCUGGUCUGAGAGGAUGAUCAGCCACACUGGGACUGAGACACGGCCCAGACUCCUACGGGAGGCAGCAGUAGGGAAUAUUGGACAAUGGGCAAAGCCUGAUCCAGCAAUGCCGCGUGAGUGAUGAAGGCCUUAGGGUUGUAAAGCUCUUUACCCGAGAUGAUAAUGACAGUAUCGGGAGAAUAAGCUCCGGCUAACUCCGCGCCAGCAGCCGC
This 444-nucleotide ribosomal RNA is filed under the name uncultured soil bacterium. RNAcentral describes it as "bacterial SSU rRNA". It matches the Rfam family "Bacterial small subunit ribosomal RNA", at positions 26 to 518 of the family's 1533-position model. The record is from RNAcentral.